This 346-nucleotide ribosomal RNA is filed under the name uncultured archaeon. RNAcentral describes it as "bacterial SSU rRNA". The stretch from base 1 to 297 matches the Rfam family "Archaeal small subunit ribosomal RNA", at positions 1060 to 1478 of the family's 1478-position model. The record is from RNAcentral.
ACUAUUGCUACCGCCCGUAAGGGUGGUGAGUACACUGUGGAGACCGCUGGCGCUAAGUCAGAGGAAGGAUUGGUCGACGGUAGGUCAGUAUGCCCCGAAUAUCCCGGGCUACACGCGGGCUACAAUGGAUAUGACAAUGGGUAACUACACCGAAAGGUGGCGUCAAUCUCUUAAACAUAUCCUUAGUUCGGAUCGAGGGCUGUAACUCGCCCUCGUGAAGAUGGAAUCCGUAGUAAUCGCAUUUCAAAACAGUGCGGUGAAUACGUCCCUGCGCCUUGCACACACAAGUUACCGCCCUCGCUCCGUGCAAAGAAUAUGUUUAUGAGAUUGACGCCACCUUUCGGUG